GCCGGCGUACUCAACGGCAGAGCAUCCGGCUCAUGACCGGAAGGCACCCGGAUCGACACCGGGCGUCGGCACCA
This 74-nucleotide transfer RNA is filed under the name Micromonospora endolithica. RNAcentral's name for it is "tRNA-Met". It matches the Rfam family "tRNA". From Rfam's summary of the family: Transfer RNA (tRNA) molecules are approximately 80 nucleotides in length. Their secondary structure includes four short double-helical elements and three loops (D, anti-codon, and T loops). Further hydrogen bonds mediate the characteristic L-shaped molecular structure. tRNAs have two regions of fundamental functional importance: the anti-codon, which is responsible for specific mRNA codon recognition, and the 3' end, to which the tRNAs corresponding amino acid is attached (by aminoacyl-tRNA synthetases). tRNAs cope with the degeneracy of the genetic code in two manners: having more than one tRNA (with a specific anti-codon) for a particular amino acid; and 'wobble' base-pairing, i.e. permitting non-standard base-pairing at the 3rd anti-codon position. The record is from RNAcentral. Lineage: Bacteria; Bacillati; Actinomycetota; Actinomycetes; Micromonosporales; Micromonosporaceae.